CCUACGGGUGGCAGCAGUGGGGAAUAUUGCACAAUGGGGGAAACCCUGAUGCAGCGACGCCGCGUGAGCGAAGAAGUAUUUCGGUAUGUAAAGCUCUAUCAGCAGGGAAGAAAAUGACGGUACCUGAGUAAGAAGCUCCGGCUAAAUACGUGCCAGCAGCCGCGGUAAUACGUAUGGAGCAAGCGUUAUCCGGAUUUACUGGGCGUAAAGGGAGUGUAGGCGGGCUGCCAAGUCAGAUGUGAAAUACCGGGGCCCAACCCCGGGGCUGCAUUGGAAACUGGCAGGCUGGGGUGCCGGAGAGGCAGGCGGAAUUCCUAGUGUAGCGGUGAAAUGCGUAGAUAUUAGGAGGAACACCAGUGGCGAAGGCGGCCUGCUGGACGGUAACUGACGCUGAGGCUCGAAAGCGUGGGGAGCAAACAGGAUUAGAUACCCCUGUAGUC
This 440-nucleotide ribosomal RNA is filed under the name uncultured bacterium. RNAcentral describes it as "partial 16S ribosomal RNA". It matches the Rfam family "Bacterial small subunit ribosomal RNA", at positions 338 to 795 of the family's 1533-position model. The record is from RNAcentral.